CCAGCACCCCGCAGAGCGAACGGAGGCCACAACUCCCAGCCACGGGCUAAAGACUACGGGCUGCAACUUCCGGUCCUCCGCGGGCCCCAUCGACCUCACUCCUAGAGUGCAAGGGAUCGGCGCGGGCCUUAUCUCCCAACAGCCCGAGCUCGGGCCACUGCACGCCAUAGUCCCAGAGCGCUGCGCGAGUGGCCGGCUGUGGCGGCUCGGGGUGCGCCCCUGCUGACAGCGUCUUUCAGCGGGAACGCCCUGGAGAGGACGAGUGGUGACCGAACAGCUACUACGGUGGGACCAAUCCGAUGUCGCCUUGGUUCCCACGCUGUCUUCCUGGGGAGCGUUAGGUCGCCCUGGCAGCGUGUGGCUCCGCGUCUGGGGCUGAGCUGAGUGCGGUUACCCAAGGCCAGGUCCUGGUUUCCGGGAGCCACUCAUUAGAAGCCUAUCCCACCUCUGCCUGUUGACAAUAUAAAUGUUCAUUUGGGUCUCCCUUGGAAGCCUCAUACAGAGGUUUAUCAAGUAGCCUGAGAUCGGCUCUCCAUAAGCAAAGAAAGCCCGCGAGCCCCAGAAAAGACAGGAUCUCGGCUUUGGAGGAAGGGAUUGGGAAGUCCCGAAUAAGCUGUUUAGGGUCCAAGUUUAAUUAUGAUGUUUCAAGUGAAGUCUUCUUUGAAAUGCUUCUGCUUGGAGUACGCUGAGCCUCUUGGAUCCAGGACACUGCCUUUAAUCAGGGAAACUCUUUGGCCAUUACUGCUUCAUAAAUUUUUUCUUCUGCUUUCUGGUUCUCCUUUCCUCCUGUUAGUUUAGUUACACAUGUUAGUUCAUUAUCAGAUGUUCUAUUGUUCUUUUUUUGUGGGGGGGAGAGGUUUGU
This 862-nucleotide long non-coding RNA is filed under the name Heterocephalus glaber (naked mole-rat). Its description in RNAcentral is "lncRNA (ENSHGLG00100044348.1)". The record is from RNAcentral. Lineage: Eukaryota; Metazoa; Chordata; Mammalia; Rodentia; Bathyergidae.